CUGGAGGCCGGGCUGUCCCAUGUGUCCCCGUGCCGAGAGUGUAAGCGUCCUCGGGCGCGAGUGGGGUGGGGGCUGACUGCCACUCAGGCGCCCAUGGGCACAGCGUCCUGCGGGCAGCAGAGCACUCUGCUUGGCUGACAGGUGCCGGCUGCCCCUGACCCAAGCUGGUGUGCCUUGGCCCUCAGCGCGGGAGCUGUGUGUGCAGUGAGGAACACAGACGCAAAAGGGUUUUCAAAUGAUGAGGCGCCCUCGAGGGCCGAGGAUGGGGCUGAGCUGGCAGCGUGUUUCUGUGCCCGGCACCGGCUCAGAUCGAGCGUGCUGGCCCACCUGUAAUCCCAACGUUUGAGAGGUGGAGGCAAGGGAUCAGCUGUUUUUAAGGCCAUCCUCAGCCACGUGUCAAGUGUGAAGUCAGUCAGGGCUACGUGUGGCCUCGUCUCGAAAAGAAAUAACUGAUAAGAGAUCACGGAGGCCUGUUAUCCUUGAAGAAUGGCAGAGGCAGUCUUCCGUGCCCCGAAGAGGAAAAGAAGAGUGUAUGAGAGUUACGAGUCACCACUGCCCAUCCCCUUUGGUGAGGACCAAGGUUCCAGGAAGGAAUUCCGAAUAUUCCGAGCUGAAAUGAUCAGCAACAACGUGGUGGUGAGGGGCGUGGAGGACAUGCAGCAGCUGUACGGGAAGGGUUACUUUGGAAAAGGCAUUCUUUCAAGAAGCCGUCCAAACUUCACGAUCUCCAAUCCUAAGCUGGCUGCCAGAUGGAAAGGUGUGCAGACAGACAUGCCUAUAAUCACCUCAGAGAAGUAUCAGCGUCGAGUGGAAUGGGCCAUGGACUUCAUGCGUAGACAGGGCCAGGAUGAGAGCACUCUGCAGAAGAUCCUUAGAGACUACACAGAACCACUUGAGCCUCCUUGCAGAAAGGGGAAAGAAGAGGCCCCACAGCGUGAUCCACUCAACUCCGAGGCCAGCUCCUCCCUGGAAGGCAGAGUGGGAAAGGACAAACUCUCUGUGACCACUGGAGAUGCUGGACCAUCAGAGGGUGAGGGUCUCAGCACACGCUCGGACUGUCCACAGGGGCCUGGCCAUGCCACACUCACUGUGGCAUGUCCGUCCAGCCUUAAUGGACAUGUGAUAGAGGACACCACGGUUCUGCCCCAGGUCCCCUGCCAGGAUGGCAUUUGGCCUGAUGACAGCAGCCAGGUGGCAGGAGAGCAAAGGGCUGCUCACGAGUAUGUGCUCGUUGAGGAAGAGCCGUGUGAUGUCCAGGAGGAGGAGGCCUCAGAUGACAAGUUGCUUCAAAGAAAGAGACUGGUGUGCCGGAGAAACCCAUACAGGAUCUUUGAGUACCUGCAACUCAGCCUAGAAGAGGCUUUCUUCCUGGCAUACGCCCUGGGAUGCUUAAGUAUUUACUAUGAGAAGGAGCCUUUAACGAUAGUAAAGCUCUGGCAAGCCUUCACCGCGGUCCAGCCCACCUUCAGGACUACCUACAUGGCCUACCACUACUUCCGAAGCAAAGGCUGGGUGCCCAAAGUGGGGCUCAAAUACGGAACAGAUCUGUACGAGAGUUCCGUUGGACCUGCUGACUGCACCUCAGCCAUGGUCUUGUGUGAUUUUGGUCAGCUGUGUCCUUGCAGCUUCGCUUGCCUCACCCCCAAAUGAGAAGAGUCCUGGAGUUGCGUUGAUGGUCCCAGCUGUCAUCUCUUGAACACUGUCGGUGUGGCGCUGUACAUCCUGUGACACUCAUUCCUCGUGGCAGCCUUUGCUGUUCUGUGUCCCGGUGCUCAUCACUCCCGUGGAGAGGAGCGGUCAUGUGCCUUAGUGGUUUCCAGGGCCAGUCAUUUCCAGGCUUUGGAUCCUGGUGUGCAGGCUCAUGGGAACUUCAUGUCAAUGCCUCCGCGGGGAUCCCCUGGGGGCUGUGAGCAUAUGAGAGAGUUGUAUCUGGGAAGGGCUGUGAGGAUAGUGUGAGAGGGUUGUAUCUGGGAAGGGCUGUGAGCAUAUGAGAGAGAGUUGUAUCUGGGAAGGGCUUGCUGGGCAAAGCAAACAGCAAGCACAGAGGCGAAGGCCAGUCUCAGGAACUACACAGAGGUAAGAGUGUGGAGAACCCGGGUCCUGAGGGGUUCAGGCUGGGCCUGGAUCUGGGAUUUGGACAAAUGAAAAGUCUUUAAAGUGACCUGGUUUAGUGAGACCCUCUGAGUGCUGUCUUACCUGUGACUGAAGAGGCCUGGAAUGGAGGAGAAACUGGGUUUGAUUCCAGCACACACAUGGCGGAUCACACCCAUCUGUGACUCCAGUUCCAGAGAAUCUUACUUCCUCUUGAGCCUCUGCUGGGCACCAAGCACACACUUGGAGCACAAAAACGCAUGCAGGCAAAACAUCCAGAUAAUAAAAAAUUAAAAAUAGAUCAAAAUUGUCAUGCUCUAAAGUAGACUGUGCUUAACCUGGUGCUGCUAGAAUUCUUUCCCAGGUUGAGGCAUAAGCAACAUCCACCCCUGCUUAUGUCCUAAUGUCCCAGUGAGGAACUGAAGGACAGUUCUGCCAAAGUUCACUCUGGGGAGCCAGUCAGUUGGUUGUUUUUUUGUUUUUGAUUUUGUUUUGUUUUGUUUCUGUUUUUUUAGGUGAGGGGCUACUUACAGUGCUGUGGGUGCUGCUUUCCCCAAACAGGCCACACCUAGCAAGGAUGAGGGCUCAUCACAUAGACCCAUAGAUGGGCCCCACCCCACACUGUGCCCUAGUCUUCCCAGGCCUAUAUAUGCUAGUCCCUCCCCUAGGCCACAUACAGCAGGUAGUAAGGAGUGCUGGAUACUCAGGUGAGGGUCUCAUGACCAUCCCCACCCCUCCAUGGUGGGCAUAAAGAGUCAACAAGCUUAGCUGAGAUGACCCAUUUCCAAGGGGGCACAGCUGAAAUCCCCCCCCCCCCCCAGAGAGUUGCCUGGCUCUGAGGAUAGUCACAACACCUGGAAUUGUGGGAUAGUCUUCAGGGGGUACCAGCAGCCCAGAACUCUUCUGGACAGCAGCCGGGCGUUUGCUAUGUGCCCUUCCCUAUUCCUUCCAUCCUGGAUGUUGCACAUGUGGCUGAUGGGGUGAGCUGAGCUUGCCCUGAGCUGAGGAUGGCCUUGUUUUGUUUCUUUUGACUUCCUCUCAUCCCACUCCUGAGAUCACAGCCACUCCACCUACCUGACAGGUCUCCACCAUUCUCAUCCCGAGAGCGGAAUAGAAGCUGAAGCGAUCAGCAAGGCUGUCCAUGCUGUAUCGGAAAGGCCCUCCGUUUUACCAUGCAAG
This is an RNA transcript of Alexandromys fortis (reed vole), 3270 nucleotides long. It is a transcript of the gene named tRNA splicing endonuclease subunit 2, with no coding region annotated. Lineage: Eukaryota; Metazoa; Chordata; Mammalia; Rodentia; Cricetidae. The transcript has 10 exons. The record is from RefSeq and is a predicted model, not a curated record.